CAAAAGAAGUAGGUAGCUUAACCUUCGGGAGGGCGCUUACCACUUUGUGAUUCAUGACUGGGGUGAAGUCGUAACAAGGUAACCGUAGGGGAACCUGCGGUUGGAUCACCUCCUUACCUUAAAGAA
RNAcentral lists this ribosomal RNA (126 nucleotides) under Escherichia coli. RNAcentral describes it as "partial 16S ribosomal RNA". It matches the Rfam family "Bacterial small subunit ribosomal RNA", at positions 1418 to 1533 of the family's 1533-position model. The record is from RNAcentral. Lineage: Bacteria; Pseudomonadati; Pseudomonadota; Gammaproteobacteria; Enterobacterales; Enterobacteriaceae. RNAcentral also lists the same sequence under 5 other names.